CCCGACUGCUAUUUGGGUGAGAAUAAGCCAUGCGAGUCGAAUGGAAUACCAAAAUAUUCCAUGGCAAACUGCUCAAUAACACGUAAUCAACUUACCCUAUGGAAAACAAUAACCUCUGGAAACGGAGGAUAAUGGUUUAUAGUUGAAAAGGCUUGGAAAAGUUCUUCAAUAAAAGGGAAUAAUAAAAAUGGUUAUUAUUUUGCCAUAGGAUAGGAUUGCGGUCGAUUAUGGCUGUUGGUGAGGUAAUGGCUCACCAAACCAAUAAUCGAUAGGGGCCGUGAGAGCGGGAGCCCCGAGAUGGGUACUGAGACAACGACCCAGGCCUUACGAGGUGCAGCAGGCGCGAAAACUCCGCAAUACACGAAAGUGUGACGGGGUUACCCAAAGUGCUUAAUUUUUAAGCUGUGGUAAGUGUGUAAUGUACCUUACUAGGAAGGAGAGGGCAAGGCUGGUGCCAGCCGCCGCGGUAAAACCAGCUCUUCAAGUGGUCGGGAUAUUUAUUGGGCUUAAAGUGUCCGUAGCUUGUAUAAUAAGUUCCUGGUAAAAUCUAAUAGCUUAACUAUUAGUAUGCUAGGAAUACUGUUAUACUAGAGGGCGGGAGAGGUUUGAGGUACUUCAGGGGUAGGGGUGAAAUCCUAUAAUCCUUGAAGGACCACCAGUGGCGAAGGCGUCAGACUGGAACGCGCCUGACAGUGAGGGACGAAAGCCAGGGGAGCGAACCGGAUUAGAUACCCGGGUAGUCCUGGCCGUAAACGAUGCACACUAGGUGUUGGUAUGGCUAUGAGCCAUAUCAGUGCCGAAGGGAAACCAUUAAGUGUGCCGCCUGGGAAGUACGGUCGCAAGGCUAAAACUUAAAGGAAUUGGCGGGGAGCACCACAAGGGGUGAAGCCUGCGGUUC
This 898-nucleotide ribosomal RNA is filed under the name uncultured archaeon. Its description in RNAcentral is "bacterial SSU rRNA". It matches the Rfam family "Archaeal small subunit ribosomal RNA", at positions 21 to 903 of the family's 1478-position model. The record is from RNAcentral.